Molecule: ribosomal RNA, 465 nt
Filed under: uncultured bacterium
Lineage: Bacteria
Description: partial 16S ribosomal RNA
Rfam family: Bacterial small subunit ribosomal RNA
Source: RNAcentral
GACGAACGCUGGCGGCGUGCUUAACACAUGCAAGUCGAACGGAAAGGCCCUGCUUGCAGGGUACUCGAGUGGCGAACGGGUGAGUAACACGUGGGUGAUCUGCCCUGCACUUCGGGAUAAGCCUGGGAAACUGGGUCUAAUACCGGAUAGGAGCCAUUUUUAGUGUGAUGGUUGGAAAGUUUUUUCGGUGUAGGAUGAGCUCGCGGCCUAUCAGCUUGUUGGUGGGGUAAUGGCCUACCAAGGCGGCGACGGGUAGCCGGCCUGCGAGGGUGGACGGCCACAUUGGGACUGAGAUACGGCCCAGACUCCGACGGGAGGCAGCAGUGGGGAAGAUUGCACAAUGGGCGCAAGCCUGAUGCAGCGACGCCGCGUGGGGGAUGACGGCCUUCGGGUUGUAAACUCCUUUCGCUAGGGACGAAGCUUUUUGUGACGGUACCUAGAUAAGAAGCACCGGCUAACUACGUG